Molecule: ribosomal RNA, 760 nt
Filed under: Russula sp. 3 AC-2014
Lineage: Eukaryota; Fungi; Basidiomycota; Agaricomycetes; Russulales; Russulaceae
Description: eukaryotic LSU rRNA
Rfam family: 5.8S ribosomal RNA (bases 227-380)
Source: RNAcentral
UGCGGAAGGAUCAUUAUCGUACAACGGAGGCAUGAAGGCUGUCGCUGACCUUUUCAAAGGUCGUGCACGCCCGAGCGUCUUCGAAAAUACAAUCCCUCUCACACAUUGUGCACAACCGCGUGGGGUCUCUCUUUUUGGUUCGUCCGCAGGGAGGCUCGCGUUUUUCCAUACAAACACCUUUUUAGUCAACGAAUGUCAUUAGUUUGCAAUUGUAUGCAACCAAUACAACUUUCAACAACGGAUCUCUUGGCUCUCGCAUCGAUGAAGAACGCAGCGAAAUGCGAUACGUAAUGUGAAUUGCAGAAUUCAGUGAAUCAUCGAAUCUUUGAACGCAACUUGCGCCCCUUGGCAUUCCGAGGGGCACACCCGUUUGAGUGUCGUGAAAUUCUCAAACCCACUUUGGUUUUUUAGACCAAGGAGGGUUUGGAUCUUGGAGGCCUUUUGCCGGCUUGAAUGAAAGCCGGCUCCUCUUAAAUGCAUUAGUGGGGUCCCCAUUGCUGGUCCUUAGACGUGAUAAGAUGUUUCUAAGUCUCGGGAUUUGCUCUGUCGCUUGGGAGCCCGCUUACAACCGUCUCGCAAGAGACAUCGUUCGAGCUUUGCUCGACCCAUGAACCUUGACCUCAAAUCGGGUGAGACUACCCGCUGAACUUAAGCAUAUCAAUAAGCGGAGGAAAAGAAACUAACAAGGAUUCCCCUAGUAACUGCGAGUGAAGCGGGAAAAGCUCAAAUUUAAAAUCUGGUGGCCUUUGGUCGCUCGAGU